Long non-coding RNA from Oreochromis niloticus (Nile tilapia), 2062 nucleotides. RefSeq lists it as uncharacterized. The transcript is spliced from 3 exons. Lineage: Eukaryota; Metazoa; Chordata; Actinopteri; Cichliformes; Cichlidae. The record is from RefSeq and is a predicted model, not a curated record.
UCUAGGGACAAUCUAACAUUUGGUUCGAUUUUGCAAACUGUGUUGUAACGUUAUUUUGGUUAUUCUCUUAAACGAAUCCAAAUUAUAUAUAAAGUCUUUAAAAUUACUUCAAAAAAAUAAACCAUAAAAAAUAUAAUAUUCCAAAGCAUCUACCCACUGAUUUCCUUAUCUGAGAUAAAUCACGUCUCCUAUUAUAGUUGAGUUGUUUUCCCCCCUCUUUCUCUCUCUCUUCGCAUAUGUGGCGUUUAAUUUGUAAUCUGUAUAAAUGUAUAUAUUCACUGUCUAUCUAACGGAGAAGUAAGGGUACUUAAAUUGAAUUCUAAUAACUUUUUACAUCUACUCCCUAGAUUUUUAAACAAAUAUCUGUACUUUCGACAGAGACUCAUUACUUUUGGUUAAACUGUAUCAUUUAUAGCGUUUAUACUCGGGAGUUAGCAAACUAUGGGAAUAACUGUACGCAGUCUGCACACACAUCUACAAAUAUUUAUUUUGGGCUUUGCAACACGAUUAUAUUCUAGAAAGUGAACCGUAGAUGUAUUUACAGAUAUUAUUAUUCACUGUAUCUGUAUAUUCACAUGUACAUGUACGAUAAGCAUGAACACCCUGUGGAAUUUAUCUUGUCCAUUGAACUCACAAUCAGCACAUCAUAGAUAUAACGGGGCAUAAAAGCCAUUCAUGCACUUACAUACAAAAAGGGAGUUUUAGAAAUAAAUAAGAUCUUUAUUUUUGUAUUAAAAGGACCAUUAAAAUGAGGCUUAUAAAAGUGUGUCACUGGGCAAACUUAAUCAAUGAGUUAUUAAAAUUUUGCAGUCCUUUGUUUAGAAACCAAUAUUAAGUACCGAACAAAAUCAGAAAAUUGUUUGGUUUUAUGUGGAAAAAAAAUGGAAUUUAUCUGGUAAAUUUGAUUAAAACCAGGGUAGUGUAUUUGCUUUUAUCCCAAAUAUAUGUUCCAGUCUAUUUUAUGAAAUGUUGUGUAUAACUAAAGAAGUAAUGUUUUCUUUACACAUUGGGUUAAUCUAAAAAGUUAACCCUCCACGGUGUAAGUUUUUCUUAUUUUCUCAUCAUAAAGUAUAUUCAUUCAACCCAGCUUUCAUAUUUUUUAGCAUCUAAAGGCAAAUAAUCCUAAUUAUAUUCACACCGGUGUAUACAAACUUUUUUCCCAGGCCUGACAGAACCUGUACUGAUUUGUUUGGAUGUGGAUUCCAAGCUCAGUGAUCAGAUCAAGCUGUCAUUCUUCCACCUGUGUGUGGAUGACAAGUCGGCUCUGUUGCUCCACCUCCUGAGGAACGUAGUGAAGCCUCAGAAACAGACAGUGGUCUUUGCUGCCACCAAACCUAAAGGAGCCUAAAGGAGCUGCUGUCGUCAGAAGGUUUAGAGUGUGCCUACGUCUACAGUGCCCUUGAUCAGACUGCCAGGAAGAUCAAUAUUGGGAAAUUUGUGCAUUGGAAAGCCAUGGAGCUUCUGGUGACUGAUGUUGCUGCUCGUGGUAUAGGCAUCCCCCUGCUGGACAAUGUCAUCAAUUACAACUUCCCCUCCAAGGCCAAACUUGUGCCAAAGUGGCACAGCCUAUAGUCUGAUUUGUCCUGAUGAAAUGCAGUAUUCUAAUAAGCAAAGAAACACAUAAUUCUCUCCUGAUAUAGACCAUCUUCAAAAUCAACUCCAGUAGUAAGACACCAGCGAGUGAGGUGAUGCGGGCCAAACGCUCUAAAGACACUCGGCUAGUGGACAAAUUCAGCAAGCAGAGAGAGGACCGAGCUGCAGAAAGCAGGAUGCAGCAGCCAAUCAACCCCACCACUACUGCUGACUGUGACAUCACAGAAAAGGAGGAGACUGAUCUAAAUGUAAGCAUGGGUGAAGUAUUGCUUCUUUCUUUCUUCCCUGGAUCAUUGUAGUUGCAGGUUCAGAUCAGUUUCAUAAAGGAUUAAGCACACAUGUGAAAAAAAGGAUUAUUAGACUGAGUUAAGUUAUUAAUGCUUAAACUUUGGUGUCAUUAACUCUUGCUCUUAUCGUUCUGUCACAAACUAUACUGGUCGUGUAUAGUUCUGCAUUGCAUGGAAGUCAG